CACCUGUUCCCAUUCCGAACACAGAAGUUAAGCCCACCAGCGCCGAUGGUACUGCUAACGCGGGAGAGUAGGUCGCCGCCAGUU
RNAcentral lists this ribosomal RNA (84 nucleotides) under Elizabethkingia miricola. RNAcentral also lists the same sequence under 1 other name. Lineage: Bacteria; Pseudomonadati; Bacteroidota; Flavobacteriia; Flavobacteriales; Weeksellaceae. The record is from RNAcentral.